AGAGUUUGAUCCUGGCUCAGAUUGAACGCUGGCGGCAGGCCUAACACAUGCAAGUCGGACGGUAGCACAGAGAGCUUGCUCUCGGGUGACGAGUGGCGGACGGGUGAGUAAUGUCUGGGGAUCUGCCCGAUAGAGGGGGAUAACCACUGGAAACGGUGGCUAAUACCGCAUAACGUCGCAAGACCAAAGAGGGGGACCUUCGGGCCUCUCACUAUCGGAUGAACCCAGAUGGGAUUAGCUAGUAGGCGGGGUAAUGGCCCACCUAGGCGACGAUCCCUAGCUGGUCUGAGAGGAUGACCAGCCACACUGGAACUGAGACACGGUCCAGACUCCUACGGGAGGCAGCAGUGGGGAAUAUUGCACAAUGGGCGCAAGCCUGAUGCAGCCAUGCCGCGUGUAUGAAGAAGGCCUUCGGGUUGUAAAGUACUUUCAGCGGGGAGGAAGGCGACG
RNAcentral lists this ribosomal RNA (450 nucleotides) under Pantoea sp. iCTE644. RNAcentral describes it as "bacterial SSU rRNA". It matches the Rfam family "Bacterial small subunit ribosomal RNA", at positions 8 to 456 of the family's 1533-position model. Lineage: Bacteria; Pseudomonadati; Pseudomonadota; Gammaproteobacteria; Enterobacterales; Erwiniaceae. The record is from RNAcentral.